GUUGCACAAAAGUAGAAUUAAGACAUCCAGGAUAAAUGACUCAGCUGAGCUCAAUGAAGCCAAAACAUGUGCGUCCAGGCUUAAUUGGUUGCACAAAGACCAAGCCAGGAUGAGCAGACACGGAUUCAUUAAGCCAGGUGAAACCAAUCCUGGAUAGGUGCGCGCUCACGGCUCACUCAAAUAGACCCCGCCACAGAUCACAGAUUAACUGAUUUACCAUGGCAACUAGAGCCGCGUACUUUUCCCCGUCGGAAGCACAAAUCCUCAUGGAGGCAUACGAGGAGGUAAAAUAUAUAAUUAAGAAGAAAGGCAACACCGCCACAGUGAUAAAGCAAAGAGAAAAAGCGUGGCAAAGUAUUGCAGACCGCCUGAAUGCAUUAAACAUGAACGGGCCAAAACGGACAUGGCAGCAGGUGAAAAUCAAAUACAAGAACAUUCUGCAGAAUGCAGUGAAAAAGAAUACCCACAGACAAGGCAUGGGUGGUGGGUCACCAAAGGCUGACCUUACCCCAGCAGAGGACAUGGCCUUGGAGCUAAAUAAAGGCAGGCCCGUCUUAGAGGGGAUCCCUGGGGGGAAAGAGACGAGCAUAGGUUCCUCCCAAGAUGCCACCCGCUUCAUUCAAGUGUCUGGCAGCACUGUGUUCCUGUUAGAGCCACCAGCACAAGCACCAGACGAUGCUGAUCCAGGUGAAGGCCCCAGUGCAGCAGCAACAGCACAUGAUGGAGACGAUGAUGAGGAGGAGACCAUCUCUCUGGAUUCCAGAAGGCAUGAGGUAUCAUGUUAAGACUGUGAAAGUACUAUUUACUCUACAAUGGUGAGGAGUCCUCAUCAAAAUCAAAAAAUCUAAUUUCUUUUACAGGACCCAGAUGCUAUACAGUGGGAAAACCAGCCUGGCAACAUAGUGCGUAUUAAUAAAAGGACACCACAUCCUGCCAAAUUCCAGCUGCGCUAAUUGUAUUGUGUUCACAGAGCUCACAAGCUAUCAGAAAGUUGUAUGGCAACCACCUCCGGCGCCAAAUAGAACUGGCAGACAUAGACAUUCAGUACAAGAAGAAAAAGAUGGAAAAUCUUGCACUGGAGUCCGAAAUAAAAAAGAGGACAAUUAGGAAACUGGACCUUGAAAUAAAAAAACUUGAGAGGGAGCUCCAAGAAGAUGACACAGCUCAAAAUAAAAAUUAGGUAUAUUCUCGUAAAGUCAAGUGAGCCAUGACAUAUGAGCUCUUAUUGUGAGCACACAGGACGGUGGCAUCUUUC
This 1255-nucleotide long non-coding RNA is filed under the name Salmo salar (Atlantic salmon). RNAcentral's name for it is "lncRNA (ENSSSAG00000111905.1, ENSSSAG00000111949.1)". Lineage: Eukaryota; Metazoa; Chordata; Actinopteri; Salmoniformes; Salmonidae. The record is from RNAcentral.